This 2214-nucleotide ribosomal RNA is filed under the name Triticum aestivum (bread wheat). RNAcentral's name for it is "partial small subunit ribosomal RNA". Lineage: Eukaryota; Viridiplantae; Streptophyta; Magnoliopsida; Poales; Poaceae. The record is from RNAcentral.
AUGGCGUCCGAGCAGCUGCUGCCCGCCGUGCCGAGGUGGAGGCCGAGCCCGCCGCGGGAGCAGAGCCGUCCCGGCCACGCCGCAGACGGCGAGGGCCCGUCCGACACGGCCUCCGACGUCCUCGGCGGCUCCCUGCGCAGCACCGACGGCUUCCCUUUCGGCAGCGGGAGCUCGUUCCCGCCGCCGCCGUUCGCUCCGAUGCCGGUGACCCUGCCGCGGUCGCGGACCUCCUCGUCGCUCGAGAUCAGCGUGGAGAACGGCGCCGGCGCCGUGCCCGCCGUGGUUCGCGAGACGUCGUUGCGCCGGGUUGACCAGGGCGUCGUGCUCUCCUGGGAGGACCUGUGGGUGUCGGCGGCCGGCGGCAAGGCCGGCCGCGUCCCCAUCCUGCGCGGCCUCAACGGUUAUGCGCGCCCCGGCGAGGUCCUCGCCAUCAUGGGGCCCUCCGGCUGCGGCAAAUCCACCCUUCUGGACGCUCUAGCAGGAAGGCUAGGCUCUGGUGUCAGCCAGAAGGGAGACAUCUUGAUCAAUGGCCGGAGGCAGAAGUUAUCGUACGGAACUUCGGCGUACGUGACGCAGGACGACGUGCUGAUGACGACGCUGACGGUGCGGGAGGCGGUACGCUACUCGGCGUCGCUGCAGCUGCCGAGCGGCAUGUCGGCGGCGGCGAAGCGGGAGAGGGCGGAGGAGACGCUGCGGGAGAUGGGGCUGGAGGGCGCGGCGGACACGCGCAUCGGCGGGUGGAUGCACAAGGGGAUCAGCGGCGGCCAGCGGCGCCGGGUCAGCAUCUGCAUGGAGAUCCUCACCCGGCCGGCGCUGCUGUUCCUCGACGAGCCCACCAGCGGCCUCGACAGCGCCGCCUCCUUCCACGUCGUCAGCCGGAUCGCCAGGCUCGCGCGCCGGGAGGGCAUGACCGUCGUCGCCGCCGUGCACCAGCCCAGCACCGAGGUCUACGGCCUCUUCCACGGGCUCUGCCUCCUCGCCUACGGCAAGACAGUCUUCUUCGGUCCCGCCGCCGAGACCAACCAGUUCUUUGCUCUGAGCGGGUUUCCUUGCCCGUCACUGAUGAACCCGUCCGACCACUUUCUGAGGACCGUAAACAAGGACUUCGACAACGUGACCACAUCGGACAUCGAGGAAGGCCUCGGCGGGAAGAAGAUGACCACUGUCGAGAACAUCGACGCGCUGGUGGCUUCCUACAAAUCCUCCGCGCACAUGGACAAGGUGACGCGGCAGAUCGCCGACAUACGCGGCACUGGAGGGGAGGUGGUGAAGAUGGAAGGGCAGCAGCCGAGCUUCCUGAUGCAGUCCUUCGUUCUAACCAAGAGAUCCUUCAUCAACAUGUACAGGGACCUCGGCUACUACUGGCUCCGCUUCGCUAUCUACAUCGCCCUCUGCCUCUGCUGCGGCACCAUCUUCUAUGACAUCGGCCAUAGCUACGGAUCCAUACAGGCUCGUGGCUCCAUGCUCAUGUUCGUCGGCGCCUUCCUCACCUUCAUGGCCAUCGGAGGCUUCCCAUCUUUCGUCGAGGACAUGAAGAUAUUUGGAAGGGAGAGGUUGAACGGGCACUACGGGGUGUCGUCGUUCGUAAUCGCCAACACAGUGUCGGCGACACCGUACCUGCUCCUUAUUUCCCUGGUGCCGGGUGCGAUGGCCUACUACCUGGUCGGCCUGCAGAGGAGCUUCGACCACUUUGCCUACUUCGCGCUGGUGCUCUUCAUGACCAUGAUGCUGGUGGAGGGCCUGAUGAUGAUCGUUGCUAGCGCCGUACCGGACUUCCUCAUGGGCAUCAUCACCGGCGCUGGCAUCCAGGGCGUCAUGAUGCUCAACGGCGGCUUCUUCCGUCUGCCCCACGACCUUCCCAAGCCGGUGUGGAGGUACCCCAUGUACUACGUCGCCUUCCACAAGUAUGCCAACCAGGGGUUCUACAAGAAUGAGUUCCUCGGCCUCACCUUCCCAAACAACCAGGCCGGCGGCGCCACCACCAUCACGGGCGACGACAUCCUCAGGGAGUACUGGCAGGUGGAGAUGGGGUACAACAAGUGGGUCGACCUCGCGGUCCUGUUCGGGAUGGUCAUAUUGUACAGGGUGCUCUUCUUGGCCAUCAUGAAGCUCACCGAGAAGGCCAAGCCCAUGGUGAACGGGCUUAGGUUCAGGAGGACCCAGCCGUCGGUGCACAUCGCCGACCAGAGUUUCGAAGCAAAUGGAGCAAAGUGA